UGCACAGCAGAGGGUGGCCAUGCGGAAAGAGUCAUGCUACUAGAGAGGAACACUCGGUGGAGCUUCACCUGUCACCGACUCUACACCCACACUGAAAUCUGACUUUUCAAGGAUCACGGGGCAGUUGCUAGGAAACGAAACUGAAGCUCAGUCCUUUGGGCUGGAAUCGUGGCUGCGUCUCUUUCUCAGCAUCUGUGAGAAUCUGGGAUUAGUCUCACUAAACUAACAGCUGGAGGAAAUGGUGAGCAGAUGUGUUGGAGGCAUGUCCAUGCUUGACUCAGAUGGAAGCAAGAUCAUUUCUACUCGCUAGCACUGCCCUUUUACAGAGGAAAA
This is a long non-coding RNA of Chionomys nivalis (European snow vole), 333 nucleotides long. RefSeq lists it as uncharacterized. Lineage: Eukaryota; Metazoa; Chordata; Mammalia; Rodentia; Cricetidae. The record is from RefSeq and is a predicted model, not a curated record. The transcript is spliced from 3 exons.